RNAcentral lists this unclassified non-coding RNA (215 nucleotides) under soil metagenome. Its description in RNAcentral is "partial contains 5.8S ribosomal RNA, internal transcribed spacer 2, and large subunit ribosomal RNA". The record is from RNAcentral.
AACCUAGCACACCUGCGGUGUGUACCUGCGGAGGGAUCAUUACAUGAUUUAACAGGGAGUGGAGGCUUCGGCCAAAGCUCUGUCUGAACCCAUGUCUUUUGCGUACUUCUUGUUUCCUCGGUGGGCUUGCCCACCGAUAGGACAACCUUAAACUCUUUGCAAUUGCAAUCAGCGUCUGAAAAACUAUAAUAGUUACAACUUUCAACAACGGAUCU